UGAAUAAGCGCCGGCUAACUACGUGCCAGCAGCCGCGGUAAUACGUAGGGSGCAAGCGUUAUCCGGAUUUAUUGGGCGUAAAGGGCUCGUAGGCGGCUUGUCGCGUCCGGUGUGAAAGUCCACUGCUUAACGGUGGAUCGGCGCCGGGUACGGGCAGGCUGGAGUGCGGCAGGGGAGACUGGAAUUCCCGGUGUAACGGUGGAAUGUGUAGAUAUCGGGAAGAACACCGAUGGCGAAGGCAGGUCUCUGGGCCGUCACUGACGCUGAGGAGCGAAAGCGUGGGGAGCGAACAGGAUUAGAUACCCUGGUAGUCCACGCCGUAAACGGUGGAUGCUGGAUGUGGGGCCCGUUCCGCGGGUUCCGUGUCGGAGCUAACGCGUUAAGCAUCCCGCCUGGGGAGUACGGCCGCAAGGCUAAAACUCAAAGAAAUUGACGGGGGCCCGCACAAGCGGCGGAGCAUGCGGAUUAAUUCGAUGCAACGCGAAGAACCUUACCUGGGCUUGACAUGUUCCCGACGGCYGCGGAGACGCGGCUUCCCUUCGGGGCGGGUUCACAGGUGGUGCAUGGUCGUCGUCAGCUCGUGUCGUGAGAUGUUGGGUUAAGUCCCGCAACGAGCGCAACCCUCGCCUCGUGUUGCCAGCGGGUCAUGCCGGGAACUCACGAGGGACCGCCGGGGUUAACCCGGAGGAAGGUGGGGAUGACGUCAGAUCAUCAUGCCCCUUACGUCCAGGGCUUCACGCAUGCUACAAUGGCCGGUACAGCGGGAUGCGACAUGGCGACAUGGAGCGGAUCCCUGAAAACCGGUCUCAGUUCGGAUCGGAGCCUGCAACCCGGCUCCGUGAAGGCGGAGUCGCUAGUAAUCGCGGAUCAGCAACGCCGCGGUGAAUGCGUUCCCGGGCCUUGUACACACCGCCCGUCAAGUCAUGAAAGUGGGUAGUCGCCCGAAGCCGGUGGCCCUAACCAGCCUAGCUGGGGGGAGCCGU
Molecule: ribosomal RNA, 983 nt
Filed under: Bifidobacterium actinocoloniiforme
Lineage: Bacteria; Bacillati; Actinomycetota; Actinomycetes; Bifidobacteriales; Bifidobacteriaceae
Description: bacterial SSU rRNA
Rfam family: Bacterial small subunit ribosomal RNA
Source: RNAcentral